AUUGAACGCUGGCGGCAGGCCUAACACAUGCAAGUCGAGCGAGCGGCGGACGGGUGAGUAAUGUCUGGGAAACUGCCUGAUGGAGGGGGAUAACUACUGGAAACGGUAGCUAAUACCGCAUACCAUCAGAUGUGCCCAGAUGGGAUUAGCUAGUAGGUGGGGUAAUGGCUCACCUAGGCGACGAUCCCUAGCUGGUCUGAGAGGAUGACCAGCCACACUGGAACUGAGACACGGUCCAGACUCCUACGGGAGGCAGCAGUAGGGAAUCUUGCACAAUGGGCGAAAGCCUGACGGAGCAACGCCGCGUGUGUGAUGAAGGUCUUCGGAUCGUAAAAUUCUUUGAUUAGGGAGGCGUUACCUACUCAGAAAGCCCCGGCUAACUCCGUGCCAGCAGCCGCGGUAAUUC
RNAcentral lists this ribosomal RNA (406 nucleotides) under uncultured bacterium. RNAcentral describes it as "partial 16S ribosomal RNA". It matches the Rfam family "Bacterial small subunit ribosomal RNA", at positions 30 to 526 of the family's 1533-position model. The record is from RNAcentral.